Molecule: ribosomal RNA, 468 nt
Filed under: uncultured bacterium
Lineage: Bacteria
Description: partial 16S ribosomal RNA
Rfam family: Bacterial small subunit ribosomal RNA
Source: RNAcentral
GACGAACGCUGGCGGCGUGCUUAACACAUGCAAGUCGAACGGAAAGGCCCUGCUUUUGUGGGGUGCUCGAGUGGCGAACGGGUGAGUAACACGUGAGUAACCUGCCCUUGACUUUGGGAUAACUUCAGGAAACUGGGGCUAAUACCGGAUAGGAGCUCCUGCUGCAUGGUGGGGGUUGGAAAGUUUCGGCGGUUGGGGAUGGACUCGCGGCUUAUCCGCUUGUUGGUGGGGUAGUGGCUUACCAAGGCUUUGACGGGUAGACGGCCUGAGAGGGUGACCGGACACAUUGGGACUGAGAUACGGCACAGACUCCUACGGGAGGCAGCAGUGGGGAAUAUUGCACAAUGGGCGGAAGCCUGAUGCAGCAACGCCGCGUGCGGGAUGACGGCCUUCGGGUUGUAAACCGCUUUCGCCUGUGACGAAGCGUGAGUGACGGUAAUGGGUAAAGAAGCACCGGCUAACUACGUG